AAUGAGAUAUUUAAAAUUUAUUUGUAAAUCAGUUCAAAUUUUCAUUUCUUUUUGGCAAAUUCAUCAAUCACUUUGCUAUAGAAUGUAUCAGUACCACACUCUAACUUCAUCUUUUUCAAAAAGUCUUUAUUCAUGGAAAUAAAGAUCAAAUUAUUUAAUCUCUCUUCAGUUUGUGAAUACCUCAUAAAAUUAUUUACUUGCUUUAAUGAAUAAAAUGAUCUUUCACAGGAAGCAAAUAUAGCAGGUAUGGUCAGAAUCAGAUGUAAUAAUUUUGUUAUUCCAACUAGAGCUUGGUGUAGUUCAAGUUCCUGUAUCAUUUCAUCCAGUAGUACUCUUUGAGCCAUCAACUUGGCUGAAAAAGUUGAAAUUUCUUUUAAAGUUUGAAAGAAAAUUUGACAUUCAUGAAUAUUUGAAGCUGACUGUGAGAGCACUAAAUUAAGUGAAUGUGCAUAACAAUGUACAAAUAUGACAUUCAAAUGCCCAGCCAUCACGCUUGCUCCAUCAUAAGCUUGCGCAAUAAAUUUUUGGCCAUAGUUGAAUUUAUUAACAAAUUUUCAAACUUCUGUCAAUGAUGCAACUCUUCUAUCUUUGUUGACAUUGACAUAUCCUAAAAACCUUUCUUGAGGCUUUUCUUUCUCAUCAAAAAAUCAUAAAACACAAUUGAGAUCUCAUUUGAAGGUCUGUAGUCUCAUCAAACAUAACAGCAACAAAGGUGGUUUUUUUUUUAUCAUUGCCUUAAUUUCACCUUCAAUUGUAGCAUAUAUACAAUUAAUUAUCUUGUUUUGAAUAUUAUUUGAAAGUCCAGAAAAUGUGCAGUUGGCAUUUUCUCUCAUGAAAUCUAGAUGCAAUCUUAAACAACUAUCGUAUUCUGCUACUGCUUCACAUAUAGCCAGCAAAUUGUCCUUAUUGUUUGAUUGUAUUCUUGAAAUGAAAAUUCUUAAUAAACAAAAUUUCAAUACAAUGAAUUAACCAUUUCAAUAUUUCAUGAUUUUUCUUGAUUGAUCUAUUAUGCAACUGAACUGAAUUUGCUUUCACGUGAUCGAUUGUUGCAUCAAUUUGCUGUCGGCCAAAGGUUUUCAGAGCAAUUAUGGAAUUCGGAUGAUUUUAAGAUUUUUUGUGUCUUGUCAAAUUGUUCAAAUCACAGUAGCUGGUAGUUGUCCAUGUGUUAUUAUGUUGACAAAAUAACAGACAUAGAAAACAGAAUAAAUUUGUUGAGAAUGGGACAUCCUAUCAUCCACUCAUAUUGUUCAUAAUACUUGGAAUCAAAAUAACGAUGACAUUCCUUACUGCUCACUUUGGCUUUGAUUUUCAAUUCAAGCUUUGGCAUCUCUCUUCCAAGAAAGAUAAUAUUCUUCUUCUCUUUGAAGCUUCUUGUUGCAAAAGGUCGGAAAAGUAAAGAGGAAACUGAGCUAAAUGACUCUUUUGCCAUCCUG
This 1433-nucleotide long non-coding RNA is filed under the name Octopus vulgaris (common octopus). The record is from RNAcentral. Lineage: Eukaryota; Metazoa; Mollusca; Cephalopoda; Octopoda; Octopodidae.